RNAcentral lists this ribosomal RNA (863 nucleotides) under uncultured Methanosaeta sp. RNAcentral's name for it is "bacterial SSU rRNA". It matches the Rfam family "Archaeal small subunit ribosomal RNA", at positions 5 to 873 of the family's 1478-position model. Lineage: Archaea; Methanobacteriati; Methanobacteriota; Methanomicrobia; Methanotrichales; Methanotrichaceae. The record is from RNAcentral.
UGGUUGAUCCUGCCAGAGGUUACUGCUAUCGAGGUUCGACUAAGCCAUGCGAGUCGAAUGUAGCAAUACAUGGCGUACUGCUCAGUAACACGUGGACAACCUACCCUUGGGACGGGGAUAAACCCGGGAAACUGGGUAUAAUACCCGAUAGAUCUCGGAAGCUGGAAUGCAUCGAGAUCGAAAGCUCCGGUGCCCAAGGAUGGGUCUGCGGCCUAUCAGGUAGUAGUGGGUGUAGCGUACCUACUAGCCUACGACGGGUACGGGUUGUGAGAGCAAGAGCCCGGAGAUGGAUUCUGAGACACGAAUCCAGGCCCUACGGGGUGCAGCAGGCGCGAAAACUUUACAAUGCUGGAAACAGCGAUAAGGGGACCUCGAGUGCCAGGUUACAAAUCUGGCUGUCGUAAUGCCUAAAAAGCAUUUCAUAGCAAGGGCCGGGCAAGACCGGUGCCAGCCGCCGCGGUAACACCGGCGGCUCGAGUGGUAACCGUUAUUAUUGGGUCUAAAGGGUCUGUAGCCGGCCGGAUAAGUCUCUUGGGAAAUCUGGCAGCUUAACUGUCAGGCUUUCAGGGGAUACUGUCUGGCUCGAGGCCGGGAGAGGUGAGAGGUACUUCAGGGGUAGGGGUGAAAUCUUGUAAUCCUUGAAGGACCACCAGUGGCGAAGGCGUCUCACCAGAACGGACCUGACGGCAAGGGACGAAAGCUAGGGGCACGAACCGGAUUAGAUACCCGGGUAGUCCUAGCCGUAAACGAUACUCGCUAGGUGUCGGCCACGGUGCGACCGUGGUCGGUGCCGUAGGGAAGCCGUGAAGCGAGCCACCUGGGAAGUACGGCCGCAAGGCUGAAACUUAAAGGKAUUGGCGGGG